GUCUCUGUAAUUGGUUAACGCGUUCAGCUGUUAACCGAAAGGUUGGUGGUUCAAGCCCACCCAGGGAUG
Molecule: transfer RNA, 69 nt
Filed under: Alosa alosa (allis shad)
Lineage: Eukaryota; Metazoa; Chordata; Actinopteri; Clupeiformes; Clupeidae
Description: tRNA-Leu
Rfam family: tRNA
About the family: Transfer RNA (tRNA) molecules are approximately 80 nucleotides in length. Their secondary structure includes four short double-helical elements and three loops (D, anti-codon, and T loops). Further hydrogen bonds mediate the characteristic L-shaped molecular structure. tRNAs have two regions of fundamental functional importance: the anti-codon, which is responsible for specific mRNA codon recognition, and the 3' end, to which the tRNAs corresponding amino acid is attached (by aminoacyl-tRNA synthetases). tRNAs cope with the degeneracy of the genetic code in two manners: having more than one tRNA (with a specific anti-codon) for a particular amino acid; and 'wobble' base-pairing, i.e. permitting non-standard base-pairing at the 3rd anti-codon position.
Source: RNAcentral